CCUACGGGGGGCAGCAGUGAGGAAUAUUGGUCAAUGGCCGGAAGCCUGAACCAGCCAAGUCGCGUGAGGGACGACUGCCCUAUGGGUUGUAAACCUCUUUUAUAAGGGAAGAAUAAAUGCUACGUGUAGCAUGCUGCCUGUACCUUAUGAAUAAGCAUCGGCCAACUCCGUGCCAGCAGCCGCGGUAAUACGGAGGAUGCGAGCGUUAUCCGGAUUUAUUGGGUUUAAAGGGUGCGUGGGCGGUUUUUUAAGUUAGUGGUUAAACGUCGGGGCUUCACCUUGAUUUGCCAUUAAUACUGUAAGACUCGAGUUCAGACGAGGUAGGCGGAAUAAGUUAAGUAGCGGUGAAAUGCUUAGAUAUAACUUAGAACUCCGAUAGCGAAGGCAGCUUACCAGACUGCGACUGACGCUGAAGCACGAGAGCGUGGGUAGCGAACAGGAUUAGAUACCCUUGUAGUC
This 459-nucleotide ribosomal RNA is filed under the name uncultured bacterium. RNAcentral's name for it is "partial 16S ribosomal RNA". It matches the Rfam family "Bacterial small subunit ribosomal RNA", at positions 338 to 795 of the family's 1533-position model. The record is from RNAcentral.